RNAcentral lists this ribosomal RNA (468 nucleotides) under uncultured bacterium. RNAcentral's name for it is "partial 16S ribosomal RNA". It matches the Rfam family "Bacterial small subunit ribosomal RNA", at positions 28 to 507 of the family's 1533-position model. The record is from RNAcentral.
GACGAACGCUGGCGGCGUGCUUAACACAUGCAAGUCGAACGGAAAGGCCCUGCUUUUGUGGGGUGCUCGAGUGGCGAACGGGUGAGUAACACGUGAGUAACCUGCCCUUGACUUUGGGAUAACUUCAGGAAACUGGGGCUAAUACCGGAUAGGAGCUCCUGCUGCAUGGUGGGGGUUGGAAAGUUUCGGCGGUUGGGGAGGGACUCGCGGCUUAUCAGCUUGUUGGUGGGGUAGGGGCUUACCAAGGCUUUGACGGGUAGCCGGCCUGAGAGGGUGGCCGGCCACAUUGGGACUGAGAUACGGCCCAGACUCCUACGGGGGGCAGCAGUGGGGAAUAUUGCACAAUGGGCGGAAGCCUGAUGCAGCAACGCCGCGUGCGGGAUGACGGCCUUCGGGUUGUAAACCGCUUUCGCCUGUGACGAAGCGUGAGUGACGGUAAUGGGUAAAGAAGCACCGGCUAACUACGUG